UACGGAGGGGGCGAGCGUUAUUCGGAAUUAUUGGGCGUAAAGGGCGCGUAGGCGGCUUGGUAAGUCAAAGGUGAAAUCCCUCGGCUCAACUGAGGAAUUGCCUUUGAAACUGCCUGGCUCGAGGCCGGGAGGGGGUAGCGGAAUUCCCAGUGUAGCGGUGAAAUGCGUAGAUAUUGGGAGGAACACCGGUGGCGAAGGCGGCUCACUGGCUCAUUACUGACGCUCAGGCGCGAUAGCGUGGGGAUCAAACAGG
RNAcentral lists this ribosomal RNA (253 nucleotides) under uncultured bacterium. RNAcentral's name for it is "partial 16S ribosomal RNA". It matches the Rfam family "Bacterial small subunit ribosomal RNA", at positions 524 to 776 of the family's 1533-position model. The record is from RNAcentral.